UUUUUUUUUUUUUUGGUUUAAUUUGUUGGUUGGGUCAGUUAUUAGAAUUGCUUAGGAUUGUGUAGCUUUUAGCUUUGAAAUGUUUUACAAGAUUCUUGUGGUAACUGCAAUAGUUUGAAAUUGUUUCUUUAUUUGAUAAUUUUGAAUUCUUCCACAUUAAAAUGGGUAAUUAUUCAUGAACCUUCUUUUCUCUUUCCAUUUUCUUGUGCAGCCAUUUAAGCAUAGUUUCAUGAAUUUGCAUGUCAAAGUCAUUAACCAUUGGGCAUUUCUGAUGUUACUCUGCAGUUUAUCAGUAGGGAAUGACUAAAAUUUUAGAAUAUUCUUAGCCAUUUUACUGAUUUAUAAUCAAGGAGGGAAAGGAGAAAAAGACCAUGGGAAUGUUUAAUGAAGUUCCACUCAGACUCACCAAAAUUUCUCUCCUAGGUUUGGGGGAAAGUUUUGAAAUUAUGGUAUUUUAUGCACGAGUUACAUGUUCAAAUCGAGACUUGAUUGCUUAAAAUGUUAUAACUUUUUGAUGGCGGACAUACAUGUAGAAGAUAAUAGUAAAGGCAUCUUUAACCGAAUCAGUUGAAUGGUUUUGUUAUUUGGAGAUUUCUUCAUCCUUUUCCAUCAAUGUGUGUGUGCUUUCUUGUUUCUAGAUUUUGUUAUGCAUUUGUAAUGCUGCUAUAGCAAUUUUUUCAGGUUAGCUUGACAUGGAUCCUACAAAGCAAACUUUCCCACACCGAACACUUUCUGUCAAAUUGUGGCCUCCUAGUCAGAGUACUAGGCUAAUG
This 773-nucleotide unclassified non-coding RNA is filed under the name Hevea brasiliensis (rubber tree). The record is from RNAcentral. Lineage: Eukaryota; Viridiplantae; Streptophyta; Magnoliopsida; Malpighiales; Euphorbiaceae.